RNAcentral lists this ribosomal RNA (575 nucleotides) under Sclerophrys lemairii (yellow swamp toad). RNAcentral's name for it is "partial 16S ribosomal RNA". It matches the Rfam family "Bacterial large subunit ribosomal RNA", at positions 1838 to 2613 of the family's 2925-position model. The record is from RNAcentral. Lineage: Eukaryota; Metazoa; Chordata; Amphibia; Anura; Bufonidae.
GAACUACAUAAGAGGUCCAGCCUGCCCAGUGACUCUGUUCAACGGCCGCGGUAUCCUAACCGUGCGAAGGUAGCGUAAUCACUUGUUCAUUAAUUGUGGACUAGUAUGAAUGGCACCACGAGGGUUAUACUGUCUCCUUUUUCUAAUCAGUGAAACUAAUCUCUCCGUGAAGAAGCGGGGAUAAAAUUAUAAGACGAGAAGACCCUAUGGAGCUUUAAACAACAUGGCAAUUACCCCAGAAUAUGAAAGGUUUGAGAACUGUUUAACUCUUAAAAUAAUUUGACCAUGAGUUUUUGGUUGGGGUGACCGCGGAGCACAAUACAACCUCCAUGCUGAAAUGAUGAAUAUUUAAGCUGAGACUUACAUGUCUAGGCAUCAGCAUACUGACAUUUAUUGACCCAAUAUAUUUGAACAACGAACCAAGUUACCCUAGGGAUAACAGCGCAAUCCACUUCAAGAGCUCCUAUCGACAAGUGGGUUUACGACCUCGAUGUUGGAUCAGGGUAUCCCAGUGGUGCAGCCGCUACUAAAGGUUCGUUUGUUCAACGAUUAAAACCCUACGUGAUCUGAGUUCA